Molecule: ribosomal RNA, 248 nt
Filed under: uncultured Erysipelotrichaceae bacterium
Lineage: Bacteria; Bacillati; Bacillota; Erysipelotrichia; Erysipelotrichales; Erysipelotrichaceae
Description: partial 16S ribosomal RNA
Rfam family: Bacterial small subunit ribosomal RNA
Source: RNAcentral
UACGUAGGUGGCGAGCGUUAUCCGGAAUCAUUGGGCGUAAAGAGGGAGCAGGCGGCAGCGAAGGUCUGCGGUGAAAGCCCGAAGCUAAACUUCGGCGAGCCGUGGAAACCGAGCAGCUAGAGUGCAGAAGAGGAUCGCGGAAUUCCAUGUGUAGCGGUGAAAUGCGUAGAUAUAUGGAGGAACACCAGUGGCGAAGGCGGCGAUCUGGGCUGCAACUGACGCUCAGUCCCGAAAGCGUGGGGAGCAAA